UACGUAGGGGGCUAGCGUUGUCCGGAAUCAUUGGGCGUAAAGAGCGUGUAGGCGGCUUGGUAGAUCCGCUGUGAAAACUCGAGGCUCAACCUCGAGAUGUCGGCGGAAACUACUUGGCUAGAGUCCGGAAGAGGAGAGUGGAAUUCCUGGUGUAGCGGUGAAAUGCGCAGAUAUCAGGAAGAACACCGAUGGCGAAGGCAGCUCUCUGGGACGGUACUGACGCUGAGACGCGAAAGCGUGGGGAGCGAACAAG
This 253-nucleotide ribosomal RNA is filed under the name uncultured bacterium. RNAcentral describes it as "partial 16S ribosomal RNA". It matches the Rfam family "Bacterial small subunit ribosomal RNA", at positions 524 to 776 of the family's 1533-position model. The record is from RNAcentral.